Molecule: ribosomal RNA, 103 nt
Organism: Phytophthora infestans T30-4
Lineage: Eukaryota; Oomycota; Peronosporomycetes; Peronosporales; Peronosporaceae
Rfam family: Eukaryotic small subunit ribosomal RNA
Source: Rfam
ACUGAUGCGUUCAACGAGUAUACAACCUUGAUCGAUAGGUCUGGGUAAUCUUGUGAAUGCGCAUCGUGCUAGGGAUAGACUGUUGCAAUUUUCAGUCUUGAAC